Ostrinia furnacalis (Asian corn borer) is the source of this 517-nucleotide long non-coding RNA. RefSeq lists it as uncharacterized. Lineage: Eukaryota; Metazoa; Arthropoda; Insecta; Lepidoptera; Crambidae. The record is from RefSeq and is a predicted model, not a curated record. The transcript has 3 exons.
GCCCCGCACGCCGCGCCCGUGUCUCACCCCCACAACAACCCUCAUAUUAAACCUCUCAACCCACCUUUUCAGAAAACCAGUGAUAACAUACGAAGAACACACGUCACGCGGCCGGAUUUCAAAGGCCGAAAGUCAUCGAUAGGAUACGCGACACAGAACUACCAUUUUACAGAUAAGAAGUGUCGCCGCCGACUCGUCGUCACGUCGUCUCGUACCGAAGAACCGAAGAGAUGACGCCGCAUCCGAUAGCUCCAAAACCCGAAGAGUCCAUUCAUGUGUACUACCCACUGAAAAGAAAGAUUUAGUAAGCCAAAGUCUGGACAAUCAUCGGUAAUUCAUAAAAUAAAUUGGUUAGACAUAGAUAACUUACCUAAUAUAAUAGCCAAAUGUCCAUAUAAAUCACGAUGUGGUACGCUUGGCUCGGUGAUUCAUAGCACAAAAUUCGAUUCGGUUAGUAUAGACUACAUACUAUAGAUAGUGCAGGUAGAUUUGAUUUCGAAUCGGAUAUUUGAUCUGG